This 465-nucleotide ribosomal RNA is filed under the name uncultured bacterium. RNAcentral describes it as "partial 16S ribosomal RNA". It matches the Rfam family "Bacterial small subunit ribosomal RNA", at positions 28 to 507 of the family's 1533-position model. The record is from RNAcentral.
GACGAACGCUGGCGGCGUGCUUAACACAUGCAAGUCGAACGGAAAGGCCCUGCUUGCAGGGUACUCGAGUGGCGAACGGGUGAGUAACACGUGGGUGAUCUGCCCUGCACUUCGGGAUAAGCCUGGGAAACUGGGUCUAAUACCGGACAGGUGCCAUUUUUAGUGUGAUGGUUGGAAGGUUUUUUCGGUUUAGGAUGAGAUCGCAGCGUAUCAGCUUGUUGGUGGAGUUAUGGCCUACCAAGGCGGCGACGGGUAGCCGGCCUGAGGGAGUGGACGGCCACAUUGAGACUGAGAUGCGGCCGAGACUGCGACGGGAGGCAGCAGUGGGGAAUAUUGCACGAUGGGCGCAAGGCUAAUGCAGCGGCGCCGCGUGGGGGAUGACGGCCUUCGGGUUGUAAACUCCUUUCGCUAGGAACGAAGCAUUUUGUGACGGUACCUAGAUAAGAAGCACCGGCUAACUACGUG